Molecule: ribosomal RNA, 2119 nt
Filed under: human gut metagenome
Description: bacterial LSU rRNA
Rfam family: Bacterial large subunit ribosomal RNA
Source: RNAcentral
UUAUGCUGAUAAGAGCGUAUGGUGGAUGCCUUGGCACUAAGAGCCGAUGAAAGACGUGAUAAGCUGCGAAAAGCUUCGGGGAGGAGCAAAUAUCCUUUGAUCCGGAGAUUUCUGAAUGGGGAAACCUACUUGAGCAAACCUCAAGUAUCCUUAAGCCAAUACAUAACUUAAGGAAGGGAACCCGGUGAACUGAAACAUCUAAGUAGCCGGAGGAAGAGAAAACAACAUGUGAUUCUGUGAGUAGCGGCGAGCGAAAACGGAAGAGCCCAAACCAGCGUGCGUGCAUGCUGGGGUUCGGACCGCGGAAUUGAUUCAACGAGUUUAGCAGAACGGUUUUGGGAAAGCCGGCCAGAGAGGGUGAAAGCCCCGUAAGCGAAAGACGAGUUGACAUGGCGGGAUCCAGAGUACCACGAGACACGUGGAACCUUGUGGGAAGAUGCGGGGACCACCCCGUAAGGCUAAAUACUACUUAGUGACCGAUAGCGCAUAGUACUGUGAAGGAAAGGUGAAAAGGACCCCGGGAGGGGAGUGAAAAAGAACCUGAAACCAUAUGUUUACAAGCUGUGGAAGAGCUUUAUAUGCUCAACCGCGUACUUUUUGUAGAACGGUCCGGCGAGUUACGCUGGCUGGCGAGGUUAAGGACUAAAGGUCCGGAGCCGAAGGGAAACCAAGUCUGAAUAGGGCGCAUAGUCAGUCGGAGUAGACCCGAAACCGGGUGAUCUAUCCAUGUCCAGGUUGAAGUUGCCGUAAAAGGCAAUGGAGGACCGAACCCACAUCCGUUGAAAAGGGUGGGGAUGAGGUGUGGAUAGGGGAGAAAUUCCAAUCGAACCCGGAGAUAGCUGGUUCUCCUCGAAAUAGCUUUAGGGCUAGCCUCAUACGAGUCUUGCGGAGGUAGAGCACUGAAUUCCUAAGGGGGCGUCAAAGCUUACUAAGGGAUAUCAAACUCCGAAUGCCGUGUAGAUGAUGUAUGGGAGUCAGACGAUCCGAGAUAAGUUGGGUGGUCAAAAGGGAAAGAGCCCAGACCAACAGCUAAGGCCCCAAAAUGUGUGUUAAGUGGAAAAGGAUGUGGGAUUUCGAAGACAACUAGGAUGUUGGCUCAGAAGCAGCCAUUCAUUCAAAGAGUGCGUAAUAGCUCACUAGUCGAGAGGUCCUGCGCCGAAAAUGUCCGGGGCUAAAACACACUGCCGAAGCUUUGGAAUUGAGAAUUCAAUUGGUAGAGGAGCAUUCUUAAAGGGAUGAAGCAGUACCGUAAGGAGCUGUGGACUUUUAAGAAGAGAGAAUGCCGGAAUGAGUAGCGAGAGGAAGGUGGGAAUCCUUCCGGCCGAAUAUCUAAGGUUUCCAGAGUAAAGCUGAUCUGCUCUGGGUAAGUCGGGGCCUAAGGCGAGGUCGAAAGACGUAGUCGAUGGAUAACAGGUUGAAAUUCCUGUACUAUCCUGUAACAGAACUGUGGGGACACAGGCAGAGAGCGUGAGCCGGGAAUGGAAAGACCGGUACAAGCGAGGUAGGAGAAGAGUUGGCAAAUCCGCUCUUCAAUCUGAAGACGUGAUGUGGACUGAAAAUAAGUAGGGAAGCACGUGAGCUGACUGUCAAGAAAAGCCGCUAUUGUUUGCAGGAUACCCGUACCGUAAACCGACACAGGUGGAUGAGGAGAGAAUCCUAAGGCCGACGGGAGAAGCAUUGUUAAGGAACUCGGCAAAAUGACUCCGUAACUUCGGGAGAAGGAGUGCCAGUAAGAUGGCCGCAGAGAAUUGGCCCAAGCAACUGUUUAGCAAAAACACAGGUCUAUGCAAAACCGAAAGGUGAGGUAUAUGGGCUGACGCCUGCCCGGUGCUGGAAGGUUAAGGGGAGAGGUUAGCGCAAGCGAAGCUUUGAACUUAAGCCCCAGUAAACGGCGGCCGUAACUAUAACGGUCCUAAGGUAGCGAAAUUCCUUGUCGGGUAAGUUCCGACCCGCACGAAAGGCGUAAUGAUUUGGGCACUGUCUCAACAAUGCACCCGGUGAAAUUGAAAUACCAGUGAAGAUGCUGGUUACCUGCGCCAGGACGGAAAGACCCCAUGGAGCUUUACUCCAGCUUGAUACUGGGAUUCGGUAUUGCAUGUACAGGAUAGGUGGGAGGCUA